This is a long non-coding RNA of Neogale vison (American mink), 2662 nucleotides long. Lineage: Eukaryota; Metazoa; Chordata; Mammalia; Carnivora; Mustelidae. The record is from Ensembl.
CAGCCUCAUCCCAGAGAACUCUGCUCUCCUCCCAAGGAAAGCGCUCCCUCACUCUGGCCUGGGACCCAUCUUCCCAACACUCAGAUCUGAGACUCUCUCGUCACCAAAAGGCACAGGCACUCGGAGUCCUGUAAUGACCUUUCUACCAGCCGCUUUGGGCAGGGAUAUUCAUCCAGGAAACCCUCCAAAGCAGGGUUAGAGCUGCCUCCUGCCCACCCCCCCAAUACUACCUCCAUCCUCUUGAGGGCUCAGGGACCUUGUCUGUUUCGUUAUCUCUCUUAAACUCUCUCUGUCUCUCUUUCUCCCUCCCUCUCUUCCGUCCUCCCUCUACACUCUCUCCUCCAACCGCUGCAAUCUGGAAGAAAUUACUCUUCUAAACAACCAGACUUCCCCAGCUUCAGGAAAUUCCAAGCUGGGCAGGGGGAGGGGCCAGGCUGGGGGCGAGCCCUGGCCAUCCCCCACCCCUCUGCGUGUCCUCUCUGCACACCCAGUCGGGCCUCUCACCGCCCCCACACUCUACACUCUGCCCGGAGGCCUCAGCUUUUCCACCACUACUUUGGAGUCCUUUAAAUCCUAGAGGCAAACUUGGGGUGGGGGGGCGGAAUCAGGAAGGCUGGGAGGGGCCUGUGACUUAACCCUCUCCGCCCCAGACGGACUGAGCUGGCCUAGACGGUGACUCCGCAGCCCGUUUGGGUUCCUACUAUGGCCCCCGAGAGGGGCUGACACCUCGGUCCCCGGUGCAGGUGAGAACCGUCGGGAGGAAGAAGGAAGAAGGAGCGGGCCUGGACCUCGAAAAGGAGAGGGGGUCCCCCAGCCUGAGCCUGAGAGCGCGCCUGCCCCUCUCAGCGAGGACCAAGAGGUAAGGGGUCGCGGGGAGCCGGGCCUCAGGGUCCCGGGUCAGGUCCGGAGGGACGAGGGACAGACGGGCAAAGGGGGUGCGGGCGCUCAAGUCAGGGCGGCAGCCACGUGGCCCGAGCAAGCGCGGCGAGCCCACGGGGCGGGGGUCUCCCAUUCCCGGGCCUGGCUCCGCUCGCCUCGCUGCCUACCCCCGACCGGAGAACCGGUCGGGCCGGGCGUGGAGCAGGCGGUUAUUUCCGUCUUGGCGGGGCUGGGGCCAGAGAGGACAGAGGUGAACCAGCUGUGCCCUCCACUCCCGCAGCUGGGGCGGCGGGCCUGCUGAGGGGGAGACUGGAAGGGGGCGGCAGGAGGGCGGCUGCGCCGAGCCUGGAGUCGCGGGGCCCGGGCCCCUCGGGGUCCCAACCUCGCUCCUGCAUGCUCUGCCUCUUUCGCGUUUGUGGCGAACAACAGCCCUCUCUGUAGGAGCCCUGGCUGGCGUUUUUUCCUAGCAUGACCUCAUUGCUUCAAGCAUACAACUCUGCUUGAGGGAGGUUGGAGCCUUUUAUUUAAGAGGACCCUGAGGCUGGAGGCUCCGAAAACUGGAGUGACUUGCCCGAGGCCCUCAGAGCUAGCCAGAAGAGGUCUUACUCCGAAAGGAUUUCUAACUCAUUAUUCUCUGUCUGGGAUGGAAAAAGAGGAAAAGAAAGGCAAACAAACAUAGUCAGGGGUGUAGAAAAUCCCUGGCCUUUAAAGCAUAUGGAAACAUUGUUUCCAUGGGGAUGCACACACACCCAUCUUAUCCGUGGGGGGCUAUGAGCGAUCUGAUAUCAUCUUCAGACUCUCAUCAGGUUUAGUGUCUCUGCCUGGUUUCCAAAUCCAGCCCCUAACAUUUGUUGCUGUGUGACCCUGGGCAACUUACUCCACCUCCUUGGCCACCACCUUUGUAGAGCUCAUGGAGCUGUUCUGAGGAUUGAGUGAGUUUGUUGGAGUAACACACUUAGGUUCCCGCUUAGGAAAUAUAACUUCAGCACCGUGAAUAUACUUCACAAAACCCCUAGCAAAGAGGCAUUCUGACUUCUGUUUUUCAGUGGACUAAACUAAGGUUUAAGGUUGAGGAAGUGAGUUCAGGUUCCCACAGAAAGGAAAUGACAGGUGUGUUUGGCCAGGAACUGGAAAAUGGUAGUGGUGUUGGCUGAUAGGGCAACAGAGCGUUGGGAUGAGGGACCAAGUAGGGCAUGGGCAGGCAGAAGAUCCGGUGUCGGAGAGCUGUCUGGGGAGGGGUCCGUUCAAGGGGCAGCAGGGGGUGGAAGUGGUAAGUCUGGGCUCUGGUGUCCUGCAGAGCUGGCUUUGUGACCUUGGGCAAGUCACAUACCCUCUCUGAGUGUGUCCUUCUCUGGGACAUGGGAGAAGGAUCCCAGAUAGCUACUGAGCAUUUAUUUUAUUGUGUCCUGAGCACUGCCAAGACUUUGCUGGCAACAUCCCACCAAUCUUGCAAGGAGACUACAAAGUUUUAUAGGAACAUCCUAUAUUCCUAUGUUCCAUUUUUGAGAAAAGGAAAUGAGGUCAAAAAUGUUAAGUAGCUUGCCCAAAUCUAGACACACACACACAGCCAGAUGGAAACCUAGGCAUUUGUCUGAGUUGUGUGCUCUUUUCCCCACACAACUCACUGCAGAGUAAGGACAGCCACUGCUAGCAUGGGGAGAGGUUUGUUGUUGUUGUCGCUUUUUGUUUUUUUCUUUUUAACUGUGGAUUGAAAUUUAUUAAUGAGCAGAGGUAAGCAUUUAAAAAAAAUAAAAUAGAUUAGAAUUGAAAAUAUCUGAGUGCC